Zootermopsis nevadensis is the source of this 2777-nucleotide RNA transcript. RefSeq lists it as uncharacterized. The record is from RefSeq and is a predicted model, not a curated record. NCBI's taxonomy places the organism in Eukaryota, Metazoa, Arthropoda, Insecta, Blattodea, Termopsidae.
UUCUGAGAGGUUAGACUUGUGGAGGCUUUUAUGACGAAAAAAGCUGUGAUUUAUAAUUGAAAAUGAACACUUUAAAAAUAUUAAUAUAAGUUUUAGAAUUCGGUAGUGUUAAGGUGUAAUAUAGUAUAUUAGCAAUUCGUAUAAAGUGUAUUUGUUAUAGGUUAAUGGUACUUGCAGUGCCACAUAUUGGCAGUUACAUUAUUAAGUUUUAAUUUAGUAGGUAUUUGCUAAUGGCAAACCACUUCUGGAUCGAAAGAUUUGAGGUUUUCACAGCGGUGAGUAUGAAGAUUUCUGUCUUCUGGGUUGUUGCGCUGUGUAGAGGUCAUACUGCCUCCGAUUACAUGGCUCCUGAGAUAGUCGAAGGCAAAGGACAUACCACGGUAAGUUCGUUAAGCAAGGACAAUCCGACAAUAAUGAUUUCACUGUUUAACAUGACUGAACCAACAGUAAUAAACAAAUCAAUCAUCGCAGUGUAAUAAUCUGAGGGUAUGGAUGCAUAAUUACAAAUUCCAUGAGAUGUUAUUCUGCCAAUGCCCUUCCCCUACCCCCAGGAGGUGCCAACAUUGAAAAAUGGUUUUAAAAUGAGUGUGUUUACCAACUGCUCAUAACAUGCUCAGUGCACAUUGCAGGUGUCAGAACCUUUCAUUUGUAUUUGGUGUAGUUAACUUUGUGCCAUCUGGUGUGGGUACUGUUACAUAUUUGUCAGAAAAUGUUAUUUAAGGCGCACUUAGUGAAGAAACACUGAAAUGGGUAAUGAUUAUUCUGUAGUCUUUGUCACUUUAUCCACCCAAACAGGAAAGUGGCUUACAGUAUCAAUUUUUCCUCCAAAAUCUCCCAAAAUAUGGUGAAAUAUAUUACUCCUUACAUACAAACUUGAGAUUUAAAGAAUAUAAGUAGUGAAUGAAGAGCCUUUGAAUUAAAGUACAGACAAACCGUUUUGGUAACAGGGAUUAGUACGAUGGAUAAUAAAGCAAUUUUAAGGUUCUGACGCAGCAACAACUAUGCAGAUCAUAUGAAAACAUGGCACAGUAUUUGCCUGGUUGGACUAAAACUGAUACCAAUGUGAACUACGUAACUGGAGAAUUCAUAUAUAUAAUACAUUGGAAUAGUCCUUAAAAGCUUAUGGGAAUAAAUUAACAACACUUCAUUCAUUCCACAGCUUUUGAUUUUCUUGAAUUCUUGUUAAAGUGCAAGAGUCUUUAGAAAUUAAAAGUGUCUGAUUUUGUCUGUUUCCCCAAAUUUGUUUUUGUUGCAGGCGUUGACUGGUGGAGUCUGGGUAUCAUCGUGUACGAGAUGCUCACAGGAUUCACACCAUUUGAAGCAGAAGGUGACAUGAAUGACAACUUUGUGGAGCUCUGUGAACGAAUAUAGACCAAGAACCCGAAGAUGCUGAGGAAGAUUUCCUUCUGAAGUGGCGGACUUCACACAGUUGUUUGUGAAAGACCCACAGAACCGUUUAGGUGGAAGGAAGAACGGUGUGAAGGACAUCAAGAGUCAUCCAUUCUUCAACAAUAUCAACUGGGCUGAUAUCGCAAGAAAGGCCGUGAUAGCUCCGUAUCAGCCACCUCUUGAUGAUGUAAUCUUUCUGAGCACUGGGGAUAAUCGCCAUCAUCCGUCCUCUGCUCAAUCCCAGGAUUGUGACACGACUUCCAAGAAUGAGACUUCCAUGAUGAAUGCCAUAUUGGGAUCAAGUGAGAAGUUGACUGCUCCACCUACACGCAAACUUUCCACCGCCACUUCAUGCUCAGAGUCUACACCCACAACACAAACGACGGAGAAUCCUACAGUAGUUGGGAAGACGUAGUCAUCUUCUAACACGACGCCACAGAAGAGGAAGCUGAGCGGCUCGGAAGAGAGCGGAAGGCUACCCAAGAGACGACGAAUUGCCAACACCAGAGGUCGACGAAAGAGAGGGGAACAGAGUCGAAUGAGAGAGGAAAAAAAAAUCUGAAAUGAUUGCAAAGGCUGUCCAAAUAACAACAGUACUUAUGAAGUGAUCAUGUAUCGGUUUCGUGCUGAAAAACAAACUUUUAGGACCCCUAUACUCUGAAGUAUGUCAGCAAAGGCAUUAGUAAAAAAAGACGGGUGUGAGUGUUUAUGUGUGACGCAUGUAUUCAGGCAGGUAGCUGACUACUCCUGCCCAUAACUAUGGAACCAAUAACCCCAGCGCGAUGACCUUGGUCUCUAACUGACGAUGUUCCAACCCUGUUGUAUCCCCUGGAGCAAGUGCCUGGGAGUCUAAAUGUAAAUGCGUGACAUCUCAGUCACAAUGGACCGGCCGUCGAUCAGUCGUGUUUUGACAGACGCGGAGCAAAUCCUGGUGCUAGAUGAAGUUUUAGAAGAUGAAUCUUCAAGUUAAUUUUAUUUCGUCUGAGUCUGAAAAUGUAGUAGACAUUGACUACACUCAGUUGGUGAACAUAACUGAACGUAAUAAUUCAGAAAGUGACAGUGACAAUGGUAGUGUCGAGAGGGCUGAAGUGGGUGUCCGUCCGUCACUUGAGCCCCCACCUAAGAGACUCUCAGAACGACAUUUCCCGGAGCGUAUACCACCCACAGGCAAAAAGGCAAAACCUCAAAGGAGAUGUGUGGUGUGUACGAAACACGGGAUGAGGAAAGACUAAAAAUAUUGGUGUAGUGAAUGUGGGGCAGGGUUGUGUAUAGAUGGAUGUUUCAAGAACUAUCACAUGAAAUUGAAAUUCUAAACCACCUGCUUCUAUUCCUCACACACAGAGUGCUCAUCUUAUAAGGUAAGAUUAUAAAACCAUCUUUUAAAAGGA